This 420-nucleotide ribosomal RNA is filed under the name Scyllarus subarctus. RNAcentral describes it as "partial 16S ribosomal RNA". It matches the Rfam family "Bacterial large subunit ribosomal RNA", at positions 1934 to 2561 of the family's 2925-position model. The record is from RNAcentral. Lineage: Eukaryota; Metazoa; Arthropoda; Malacostraca; Decapoda; Scyllaridae.
CGGUAUAUUGACCGUGCGAAGGUAGCAUAAUAAUUAGUCUUUUAAUUGAAGACUGGAAUGAAAGGUUGAACAAGAAGUUAGCUGUCUCUAAAUUAAAUUUUGAAUUUAACAUUUAAGUGAAAAGGCUUAAAUAUUUUAAAGGGACGAUAAGACCCUAUAAAUCUUUAUACUUGAUUUUAUAGAGCAAAAUAUUAAAAUAAUUUUUGUUCAAUAGGUUUGGGUAUUUUGUUGGGGCGACAGGAGUAUAAAAUGUAACUGCUCUAAAAUGAUAGUUAGUUGAUAUUUAGUUAAGUGAUCCUUUAAUAAAGAUGUUAGUUUAAGUUACUUUAGGGAUAACAGCGUAAUUUUUUUUGAGAGUCCAUAUCGAAAAAAAAGUUUGCGACCUCGAUGUUGAAUUAAAGAUCCUUUAUGGUGCAGAAG